This is a long non-coding RNA of Bactrocera neohumeralis, 460 nucleotides long. RefSeq lists it as uncharacterized. Lineage: Eukaryota; Metazoa; Arthropoda; Insecta; Diptera; Tephritidae. The transcript has 3 exons. The record is from RefSeq and is a predicted model, not a curated record.
CACACACACAUGUAUUGCAUUGUAUAGUUGAAAACAACCCCUGCGAACCACGGCUACCCGCUUGAGACAAAAAUUCCAAUACAACUACACAUUUUUUCUCUAUACACUAACACCGACGCACAUUUUCGGGUUAUUUUUUGUUUACCUAAAUGCGAUGAAAAAAAGUUUCUUUCAUCUCUUGAUUUAUUUGAAUGAGUGCGAAGGAGAAAACAUUAUUGUCAAUAGUGACAAAAGAAAAUCCCAAAAAGGGUAAUAAAAAAACGAUUGAAAGACGCAUGUUAUUCGUGAUCGUACUAUCGUAAAGGAGGCUCGUACAACAAGAAGCAUUGGAAUUAGCAGCUGCAGCAAUAUCAUCAGAAGCACCAAAUUUAAAUUGUUAAAUAUUAUUAUGAUUUUUAUUUAAUUAUUCUUUCUUUUCAGAUUUUAUCACUAUUUGUAUUUAAUAUAUUUUAUUCUUUCA